GCAACAUGUUCCUUUAUGACCAGAAGAAGAUGGAUGGAAUUCCCCCUGCAGCCUAUAAUGGUGAACCUCUGCACGUGACUGCUGGUCUCUGUUUGCUCAACGUGAACCCAGAAAACAAACUGAUGCCAAUUGCAAUACAGUUGAAUCAACAACCAUCUGAGAAGAACCCCAUCUUCCUGCCCAGUGAUCCAGAAACGGACUGGCUGCUAGCCAAGAUGUUCAUUAAACAUGCAGAUUGCAUGGAUCACUAAACAGUCCAUCACCUCAUGAGAACUCACUGUCUGGCAGAGGUUUUCGCUCUUGCAGCUCUCCGCAGCUUCCCUGUGAUUCACCCAAUUUACAAGCUGCUGUUUCCCCACUUCCGGCACACUCUUCACAUAAACAUUAGAGCCCGC
Long non-coding RNA from Trematomus bernacchii (emerald rockcod), 395 nucleotides. RefSeq lists it as uncharacterized. The record is from RefSeq and is a predicted model, not a curated record. NCBI's taxonomy places the organism in Eukaryota, Metazoa, Chordata, Actinopteri, Perciformes, Nototheniidae. The transcript has 3 exons.